Molecule: ribosomal RNA, 604 nt
Filed under: Hymenochaete sp. KUC20130808-21
Lineage: Eukaryota; Fungi; Basidiomycota; Agaricomycetes; Hymenochaetales; Hymenochaetaceae
Description: eukaryotic LSU rRNA
Rfam family: Eukaryotic large subunit ribosomal RNA
Source: RNAcentral
UAACAAGGAUUCCCUUAGUAACUGCGAGUGAACCGGGAUGAGCUCAAAUUUAAAAUCUGGCGGUUUUGCCGUCCGAGUUGUAAUCUGGAGAAGCGUUUUCCGCGUCGGACCGUGUACAAGUCUCUUGGAAUAGUGCGUCAUAGAGGGUGAGAAUCCCGUCCAUGACACGGACUCCCGAUGCUAUGUGAUACGCUCUCAAAGAGUCGAGUUGUUUGGGAAUGCAGCUCAAAAUGGGUGGUAAAUUCCAUCUAAAGCUAAAUAUUGGCGAGAGACCGAUAGCGAACAAGUACCGUGAGGGAAAGAUGAAAAGCACUUUGGAAAGAGAGUUAAACAGUACGUGAAAUUGUUGAAAGGGAAACGCUUGAAGUCAGUCGCGUCGUGCGGAGCUCAGCCUUGCUUCUGCUUGGUGUAUUCUCCGUAUUGACGGGUCAACGUCAAUUUCGGCCGGUGGAGAAGGGCCUAGGGAAUGUGGCGUCGUUUCGGCGACGUGUUAUAGCCUUGGGUCGUAUGCAUCGGCCGGGAUUGAGGACCGCAGCACGCCCUUGUGGCCGGGGGUUCGCCCCACGUUCGUGCUUAGGAUGUUGGCAAAAUGGCUUUAAGCGAC